Molecule: non-coding RNA, 189 nt
Organism: Arachis ipaensis
Lineage: Eukaryota; Viridiplantae; Streptophyta; Magnoliopsida; Fabales; Fabaceae
Source: RefSeq, a predicted model, not a curated record
CUCUAUAGCCAAUUGCUGAGAUAGUUCUCGAAUUUUAUCAUGUUCAUUCUGAAAAUUGCAAAAGAAAAAAACAGAGGUAAGUAAGUGGAGAAAAACCAAAUACGAGUAUCAGAGAUUAUUCAAAAGAUCACUUAAGUUUCUUCAUAGGACAUGGUUUAACGGAGAAAAACAAAUGCAUCUAUAAGAGCC